GACGAACGCUGGCGGCGUGCUUAACACAUGCAAGUCGAACGCUGAAGCUCAGCUUUUGUUGGGUGGAUGAGUGGCGAACGGGUGAGUAACACGUGAGUAACCUGCCCCCUUCUUUGGGAUAACGCCCGGAAACGGGUGCUAAUACUGGAUAUUCACUGGUCUUCGCAUGGGGGUUGGUGGAAAGGGUUUUUCUGGUGGGGGAUGGGCUCGCGGCCUAUCAGCUUGUUGGUGGGGUGAUGGCCUACCAAGGCUUUGACGGGUAGCCGGCCUGAGAGGGUGACCGGUCACAUUGGGACUGAGAUAUGGCCCAGACUCCUACGGGAGGCAGCAGUGGGGAAUAUUGCACAAUGGGCGCAAGCCUGAUGCAGCGACGCCGCGUGAGGGAUGGAGGCCUUCGGGUUGUGAACCUCUUUCGCUCAUGGUCAAGCCGCAACAAUGGUUGUGGUGAGGGUAGUGGGUAAAGAAGCGCCGGCUAACUACGUG
This 483-nucleotide ribosomal RNA is filed under the name uncultured bacterium. RNAcentral's name for it is "partial 16S ribosomal RNA". It matches the Rfam family "Bacterial small subunit ribosomal RNA", at positions 28 to 507 of the family's 1533-position model. The record is from RNAcentral.